This is a small nucleolar RNA of Rattus norvegicus (Norway rat), 129 nucleotides long. Ensembl annotates it as small nucleolar RNA SNORA17. Lineage: Eukaryota; Metazoa; Chordata; Mammalia; Rodentia; Muridae. The record is from Ensembl.
CCUGCCCCUAGAGGCAUGGCAGGUGUGGCUGCUGUGUCACAUAUUCCUCGGUAGGUGGCAGAGGGGAGAGAGACUAUGUCCAUGCUGUGUUUUGACCUAUAGACACUGAGCCCAAGACAGACAACCAUC